Long non-coding RNA from Pyrus x bretschneideri (Chinese white pear), 389 nucleotides. RefSeq lists it as uncharacterized. NCBI's taxonomy places the organism in Eukaryota, Viridiplantae, Streptophyta, Magnoliopsida, Rosales, Rosaceae. The record is from RefSeq and is a predicted model, not a curated record. The transcript has 2 exons.
CUCUUCAAAUGCACAAGGCAAAUACAAUUUUAAUUCAUUCAAGUCUCGCCCCAAAAGCUUUUGAUACAUCAAUAUUUAAAGGAACUCAAGAUAAAGGAACAUAAAUAUACUACAACUUCCUAAGAAACUCUCUACAAAUGACCUAACAAGUUCCUAUGUCAUUAAAAUACACAGCCUUAUUAUUCCAAUGCAUACUAGUGGUCUUCAAAUUGUUUUCUUCAAGGUCUGCCUCCCGCAUCAACUUCUGUGUCCUCCUAUAGUCCUAUAGGACUGACUCAAACAAUUGCGAAAGCCCUUCGGGAAAAAGUAGCAAUCAUCCAUGACAACUUAUGUGCAGCUUCUUCGGGGUUUUUGGGCAGCUUCUUUCCUUGUAGAGACUUUUAUCACCU